This is a long non-coding RNA of Aplysia californica (California sea hare), 242 nucleotides long. RefSeq lists it as uncharacterized. The record is from RefSeq and is a predicted model, not a curated record. Lineage: Eukaryota; Metazoa; Mollusca; Gastropoda; Aplysiida; Aplysiidae. The transcript is spliced from 3 exons.
GACCCCUACGCUGGAACGGAGGAUGAGUUGGAGUAGGACCCAUGGACACCACGGCCGGACCAUCGGCAGGAGGACCCCUCCGCUGCAGCGGAGGAUGACCCAGAGGAGGAUCCCAUGGAUACUAUGGCCGGACCAUCGGCAUGAGAUGUCCUCAAGGCCAGCGAAUGGGUCAGCGUCACCGACACACUUGGGUGGUAUACUCCACUGGAGGCAGCACUCGGCAAGUGAUGUCGUUAUUGUCU